UGUUGUCCAAUUACAACCUUGAAAGACAACACCACACCAGGUUCCAAGACUGCACCUGAUUUUAUUAUCACCCCAUCACAUACAAUUGCAUGCCUUAGCUCACAACCAUCUUCUAUAGUGACAUCAUCCCAUACAUAGGAACCUACUAUUGAAACAUUUGAUCCAAUUGCACAGUUUUUUCCAAUAACAGAAUUUGAAAUCUUUGAGUUGUUCCCAAUUCUGGUCCCUUUUCCAACAACAGUAAAAGGACCCAUUUGUGCAGAACGUGAUUGCUCUAUUUCGGGUGCUCUGUACAUCCCUUCUCUCUCAACCUUAGUUGCAGAAUUUGCAAAAAAGGUCACAUCUGGCACAAAUGGAUAUGUCCAUCUCUGAAUAAUGUCCUUACUGAUAGUGUCAUAGCUUCGAUAGUUAUCAAUCCUAGCCGCAUAACUUGAG
This 435-nucleotide unclassified non-coding RNA is filed under the name Hevea brasiliensis (rubber tree). Lineage: Eukaryota; Viridiplantae; Streptophyta; Magnoliopsida; Malpighiales; Euphorbiaceae. The record is from RNAcentral.